Molecule: ribosomal RNA, 373 nt
Filed under: uncultured organism
Description: partial 16S ribosomal RNA
Rfam family: Bacterial small subunit ribosomal RNA
Source: RNAcentral
GUAGGUGGCAAGCGUUGUCCGGAAUUAUUGGGCGUAAAGCGCGCGCAGGCGGUUCUUUAAGUCUGAUGUGAAAGCCCACGGCUCAACCGUGGAGGGUCAUUGGAAACUGGAGAACUUGAGUACAGAAGAGGAAAGCGGAAUUCCACGUGUAGCGGUGAAAUGCGUAGAGAUGUGGAGGAACACCAGUGGCGAAGGCGGCUUUCUGGUCUGUAACUGACGCUGAGGCGCGAAAGCGUGGGGAGCAAACAGGAUUAGAUACCCUGGUAGUCCACGCCGUAAACGAUGAGCGCUAAGUGUUAGGGGGGUUUCCGCCCCCCUUAGUGCUGCAGCUAACGCAUUAAGCACUCCGCCUGGGAGUACGGCCGCAAGGCUG